RNAcentral lists this ribosomal RNA (468 nucleotides) under uncultured bacterium. RNAcentral describes it as "partial 16S ribosomal RNA". It matches the Rfam family "Bacterial small subunit ribosomal RNA", at positions 28 to 507 of the family's 1533-position model. The record is from RNAcentral.
GACGAACGCUGGCGGCGUGCUUAACACAUGCAAGUCGAACGGAAAGGCCCUGCUUUUGUGGGGUGCUCGAGUGGCGAACGGGUGAGUAACACGUGAGUAACCUGCCCUUGACUUUGGGAUAACUUCAGGAAACUGGGGCUAAUACCGGAUAGGAGCUCCUGCUGUAUGGUGGGCGUUGGAUAGUUUCGGCGGUUGGGGAUGGACUCGCGGCUUAUCAGCUUGUUGGUUGGGUAGUGGCUUACCAAGGCUUUGACGGGUAGCCGGCCUGAGAUGGUGACCGGCCACGUUGGGACUGGAAUGCGACCCAGACUCCUACCGGAGGCAGCAGUGGAGAAUAUUGCACAGUGGGAGGAGGCCUAAUGCAACAACGCCACGUGCGGGGUGACAGCCUUCGGGUAGUAAACCGCUUUCGCCUGUGACGAGGCGAGAGUGACGGUAAUGGGUAAAGAAGCACCGGCUAACUACGUG